RNAcentral lists this ribosomal RNA (520 nucleotides) under Gloeocantharellus okapaensis. RNAcentral's name for it is "eukaryotic LSU rRNA". The stretch from base 90 to 244 matches the Rfam family "5.8S ribosomal RNA". Lineage: Eukaryota; Fungi; Basidiomycota; Agaricomycetes; Gomphales; Gomphaceae. The record is from RNAcentral.
UGCGUCUCGGUCGAUCGUUUGACCUCUUUAUCGUCCCUUUUCCUGCCUGUCAUUGCAUGUCUUUUUUGGGUAUAUAUAUGUAUCGUUACAACUUUCAACAAUGGAUCUCUUGGCUUUCGCAUCGAUGAAGAACGCGGCGAACGUGCGAAACGUAAUGUGAAUUGCAGAAUUCAGUGAAUCAUCGAAUCUUUGAACGCAUCUUGCGCUCCUUGGCAUUCCGAGGAGCAUGCCUGUUUGAGUGUCGUGUAUUAACUCAGACCCCCCCCCUGGGGGAGGGUUUGGAUUUGGACGCUUGCGGUGACGUGCCCCCUCGUCCCCGCUCGUCUUGAAAUGCAAUGCCAUGCCUCUGUCGCUCUGGGAUGGUGACGGCGUUUUGAUAGUUCGGUUUUGAGAAACGCUUGACCCAAAGUCGGGUGACGGACGCGCGUGUGCCACCGCCUUAUGGCAUAUACACAUAUACGCCCUGACCUCAAAUCAGGUAGGACUACCCGCUGAACUUAAGCAUAUCAAUAAGCGGAGA